Acanthosepion pharaonis is the source of this 110-nucleotide non-coding RNA. The record is from the annotation of a GenBank genome assembly. NCBI's taxonomy places the organism in Eukaryota, Metazoa, Mollusca, Cephalopoda, Sepiida, Sepiidae.
GGUCACAUCCCUUUGAAACACCAGUUCCAGAACGAUCACUGAUGUUAAGCAAUAUCUUGCUUGGUUAGUACUUUGAUGGGUGACCGCUUGGGAAUACCAGAUGUCGCAAG